AAAAAAAAAAAAAAAAAGAUGAAACCCACAAUCCAGAAGCCAAUCACCAGAGGAAUGAAGGGGAAAGGAGAUCUGCUAGCCUAGUUAACCAUGAGGAGAAUCAAUUCAAUGAAACACCGAUUAACAAAUCCCAAUAUCCAUCCUUCCCAAGCAAAACCACAAAAACACCAUGCAAAGCAACCUUUAGACAACACCAAAGAAAGCUUUCUCUUUAAAAUUCAAGUUGCCAGAAACCUUACGAAAAUCCAUCCAGCAGUGGUGAGAGCUAACCCAUUACUAGGCAAGGAAGGAGGGAGCCCCCUUUGCCCAAAGGGGUAGAGGAGGCCGCUUGAAUGACAAAGGUGAGGGGGACAACGCCCCCAAAUAGAAACCCUAAAAAACAGAGGAGAACUCUCUCUUCUUCCUUUUUACCUUUAGACUUUACCCUUAACAACUCUAUUACAAAAGAUAGAAUAAGGAUUGAGAAAUAUCUUUUCUUUGUUAGCUUAACCAUAAGUUUCUCCCCCUUUCUCUUAAGGCUUUAAACACAAUGUAGUCUUAGGGGAGGUGGUUUGAGCAUCGGCUCUCCCCUACCCCUUUUCUUUAGGUUGCAAUUUUUUAGUUUCUUAGACGUUGCGCUUCUCGUUUUUCCUAGUUUGUUUUAGUCUCUAGCUUUGGAGUCUUAAUAACACUCUUUUGGAUGGAGCUUUUUAUUAUAGGGUUUCUGUGGGGUUGCUCUGUAUGUUACAGUCAGCUUCCCCUACUGUUUAUUGUGAAGCUUUUUAGAGCAAAUCGACGACUGGCAGCUUCAGAGGUUUGGUAUCGAUUUGGUUAUUACUUGUGUCAAGGCUACAUAAGAAUGAAAGACUCAAAGUUUUUCCGAGAGAUUUCUUAGUUCAUCCGGCAUUGGUCCUAGUCCCUAUUUCUCUUUUGACGUUUGUUGCGUAUCUCCUAUUUCCUUUGGGCUUGAAAGUGUUGACCAAGGGAGACCUUUGAUCUGAGUAGGGCACUUAUACACUCCCUUUGCUAUUGAUGAUUAUUCUCCCUUGGAUGUUUGAGUUUCACAUUGCCUUAUAGAGUUCCCUUGGGAGGCCAAUGAAGUGCUGCUGGUGAAGGAGCAGUUGACAUCGGCUGCUACUAAGGGUUGCUUUCGGAUCAUACACGUUUAGUUUAGAGAUCCAUGUUUGUUAGUUUGGGCCCUUUAUCCUUGGCUUUUGGUUGGAAUUGAUGUAAGAAAUUU
Molecule: unclassified non-coding RNA, 1219 nt
Filed under: Hevea brasiliensis (rubber tree)
Lineage: Eukaryota; Viridiplantae; Streptophyta; Magnoliopsida; Malpighiales; Euphorbiaceae
Source: RNAcentral